This 72-nucleotide transfer RNA is filed under the name Bacillus phage vB_BceM_Bc431v3. RNAcentral describes it as "Bacillus phage vB_BceM-Bc431v3 tRNA". It matches the Rfam family "tRNA". From Rfam's summary of the family: Transfer RNA (tRNA) molecules are approximately 80 nucleotides in length. Their secondary structure includes four short double-helical elements and three loops (D, anti-codon, and T loops). Further hydrogen bonds mediate the characteristic L-shaped molecular structure. tRNAs have two regions of fundamental functional importance: the anti-codon, which is responsible for specific mRNA codon recognition, and the 3' end, to which the tRNAs corresponding amino acid is attached (by aminoacyl-tRNA synthetases). tRNAs cope with the degeneracy of the genetic code in two manners: having more than one tRNA (with a specific anti-codon) for a particular amino acid; and 'wobble' base-pairing, i.e. permitting non-standard base-pairing at the 3rd anti-codon position. Lineage: Duplodnaviria; Heunggongvirae; Uroviricota; Caudoviricetes; Herelleviridae. The record is from Rfam by way of RNAcentral.
GGCUUGUUAGUAUAUGGGUUAACACACUUGCCUGUCACGCAAGAGAAACGGGUUCGAGUCCCGUACAGGCCG